UUCCUUUUUAUAUGUCAUAGAGAUGCAGUUCUUUUCUUAACUUUCUCGAUCCCCCGGUGCUUUUCAAUUGUUAACUUUAUUCUCAUUUUGCCUGUCAUUUGUUUUGUUUCCCCUUUCUGUCACACUUUGCUAAUUGGCUGUUCAAACUUUCGAAGCACAAUGUUCCUCUCUUCAUGCAAUAAUUAGAUCUGAAGAUUAUAAAAAGCCUGUGUAUUUCCAAGAUUGAUGAUCAAAUGAAUUGCCCAUUUCAGGUCAUAUAACGCAACUGUUUACAUCGGACAGCCACCAAAGCCUUACUUUCUUGAUCCUGACACUGGUAGUGACCUGACUUGGCUCCAAUGUAAAGUCCGUGGUGCACGAUGUACCCCGGUAAAUUUUAAUAGUUUUAAGGUGUCGUAUUGACUUGUUUCUCAAACCUAUGAAUUCUGGAUGGUAAUCCUAAAACUUCGCUUGGAUGUUGUUUUGAAAGGUCUCAUGAUGUUAUGUGAGGCGAUAAGUCCUAAUAACUUUCCACUAUUUUCUUAUUGCAUACACCACAUCCGCUUUAUCCACCCAGCGAUGAGCUAGUAGAUAGCAGUGACCCAAUUUGCAGGUCCUUGCAGUCGGGUGACUACAAAAGUGACUGCGUGGAGCGAUGUGGCUACGAGGUUCAGUAUGCAGAUGGUGGCUCUUCUCGUGGUUUCCUCGUAAAGGAUGACGUUCAUUUCGAGUCCAACUGCGGCAGGGUUCUUAGUCCUCGUGUCGCCCUCAGGUAGGUAACUUCACAUGCUCUCCCAAUUAUGCUUGGCCACGCCUGCUGAGUCAAUUUUGCCUAUUUAACCAUUUAUCAUGUGCUGAUAGUUCCUCUACAGAUGCGGAUAUAAUCAGAUACCCGGUCAGUACCUUCCUUACUUAGACGGAGUGCUCGGGCUCGGUAAGGGAAGGUCCAGCCUCGUUUCACAGCUAAGUAGUCAAGAAUUGGUGGCGAACGUACUAGGUCACUGCUUGAGUACGCGUGGUGGUGGAUUUCUCUUCUUCGGUGAUGAUCUUUAUGACUCCUCCCGCAUCUCGUGGACGCCUAUGUCUCGCGACCCGUAAAUUCUCUGUUCCUCCACUUUUUCACCAUCUCAAUAUCCCUCAUCUCUCAUUUACUAAAAUUGAACUUUGUUAUAUUUAUCUCAGAAAGCACUAUUCUCCUGGGACCGCGGAGCUCCUUUUUGCGAGGAAACCUACUGGACAGAAAAAUCUGUUGCUUGUUUUCGAUAGCGGGAGCACUUAUACAUACUUCAGUUCUAAGGCAUAUCGAGCCUUAUCUUUAAGUGUGAGUUAGAGGCAAUUGUGAACUAGUAUGUGAAAAUCUGGGAAAAAAUGCAACAUCACACUUAGUGUGUCACUAUUUACGUCCAAACAUAUCACCAUCUUUCCAGGAUUUUCAGUUGUGCUCGAGUUUUCUUGAGUACUAAUGCCUAUUAAGUUUGAGAAGUAACAACUUUCAUUAAAAAAAAAAAAUGAGAGAUAAAACCAUAAAAAACUUACUCUUCUCUUUCAGGUGGACGAAGAACUACGCCGAAAGCACUUCACCGAAGCAGUAGACGACCGCACGCUCCCACUCUGCUGGAAAGGCCGGAAGCCUUUCAAAAACAUCGGUGACGUCACAAAGUACUUCAAACCCUUUGCACUCAGCUUUGCACUCAGCUUUAAUAGCGGUGGAAGAGCCCAAAACCAAUUUGAAGUUCCCCCCGAAUCAUAUUUGAUUAUAUCGGUGCGUCAAUGCCGUCAUCCAUCAAAACUCUGGCAAGUUAGAUAUGUACGUUUUUUGCUAACUGCAAUGGUUUUGACAGGACAAGGGAAAUGUCUGCAUGGGAGUUUUAAACGGAACUGAAGUAGGGUUCCAAAAUGUGAAUGUGAUUGGAGGUAAGAAUCUUCCAUAUGGUGGCAUUUUUAUCACGGAAUUAGUUUCGCACCUGAGACAUUCUCAUGGAAAAUUUGAAGAGGAAGGAAAUCAUUAAAUAUAUGAUUAGACAACAAUAAAAUGUCCUCGGAGAUCACAUCCAUUCAGAUGUGCUGCACUAUUGCGGUGAAGUAGAUUUAUUUCAUUUAAUUUUGUAUCUACCCUCGUUUGUCGGUUUUGCAGACACAUCGAUGCAGGACAAGAUGGUGAUCUACGACAACGGGAGACAAUUGCUGGGAUGGGAAUCUAAAGAUUGCAGUCAACUUCCAAAUUCCAGAGCAUUCGCAGCCUAAUUGACAAGAAGCUCGUCACCAUAUCUCUGUACUUCCAUAUCAGAAUCAUGGAAGCCCUGCGCUUCAAACUAAGCCUUCGCCUAAGAAGCUUAUUAUUGCCAAAUCACUUGUAAAUAAGCCAUGACUCAUGCUUUCCUUCGUCCUACUGUACUGGAUGUUAUGUGUACAGCAAAAUUGCUUACGGGUAUGUCCCAAGCCAAUUCAAUUACAGCCACGCUUAAUAAGUACUGCCAUAUUGAGAAUCAGUAGAAACCGAUCCUUAUUCACACUCCAGCUUCUUGUUCAUCCCAUUAUUCCAGAUUUUAUUUACCUUCCAUUGAGUGAAACUCAAGCCUAGAGGCAUAUUCCACCACAAGAGCCGAAGAGUUUCCAAGUUGAAUCGAAAAGCUAGACUCAUCAACUGCAAAUACAUUUGCAAUAUUGUCUCUCUUAUUCAAAUGCCAUUCUGAUUGGUUAGGGUAUGUGAUAUUCCUAGAUUCAUCACUACGUCAACAGUAAGACUUGUACUAACACAUUAGUACAAUCAGGAGAACUAAUUGUCUAGAUCAGUCUCUUAAUUCUACAAAUCAUAAGUGACAUCUAGUAAUAUAUCAUGGCUAUCUAGACAGAGUGAAAUGUUUCAAGAAUAUAAUGAAAUUGUCGGCUUUGGCGAUCGUGUAAUUCGAUCAUUCUAUUUUACCAUGUCCCAAUUGAAAAAAGGCCAUAGAAUUAUUAAUCAAGUCACCAAUUCAAUCAUAUGCACAAAUCUAAUUAACAUGUAUUUAUUCGAAACAUGAACCAUUCAUUCUUGGUUAUAACCCCAACUGAGGAUUUCAAUGUAAUGUCACAAUUAGAUCACAUAAGAUAUCAAUCUUAUAUAUCUACAUAUAACAAAAAGAUAGAUUCUAUAUUGCAUAUGCAUGUGCCUUCGUAUGUGAACAAACUAUGACUAUCAAGCACAGAGAUGGUCUAACGCAGCAUCAAUAUGUGUACUUGUAAACCACAGCCAUCAAAUAUGUAAGUCAACAUUAGGUCUAAGGAUCUUACAUCCUACCAAAGCGUGAAUAAUCAAACAUUGACAUCACUAAAAACUUCAAUAUUACCAAUCAUUAUAUACAUAUCACGUUCAGUGAACUUGUUCAAGACAAACACCUUUAUUCUAGCUUAGAUACCACAAUCUCCAAUGAUUUAUCGAUCAUGAAUUGUUUAAAGAUUCAUCAUGACUGUAAACUAAUCACACAUAUUCUUAACACAUUAAGAAUAGGUUCAGUUGUAAUCGAUUUUAUGGAUUCAUUCAUAUAAAUAAUACGAUGAAUGAAUAUUUAUUUAUCAUUAAAUAAUCCCUAACGUGUAACUAUUACAUAAUUACUUUAGGGCAUAUGGUUAACAUUUUGUUCAUUCUUUGAUGUGUUCAAUUUUAUGGACUCCAAUAUCUUCAUGCACUAAAUGUCUACAAACUAUUGUAUCACAUUUCAUGCUAUUCCUACUCUAUCUAAAUAACGAGAUGCACAUUGUUUUGAAGGUUUAGUAAAUCCUGGAAGAUAACCUCGACAUGUCUUCUAAACCUUAUGAAUGAUGGAAACUGUCAAUUAGAAUUAGUAUUCGUAAGCAUUAGAUAUUUGAAAAUUUCGCAUUUAUAUACGAUAGUCGUCCAGAUUUUACAGCAAAUCCCUCAUUAUUAUGAUUUGACGCCUAUGUAGAGCUAUUCACGUCACUAAACUAAAUUUUAUCAGGCUCAUAAAAAAUGAACAUUUAUUUCCACAUAAGUUUUCGCUUUUCCCCUUUUUCCAACCCCAUAACAUGGGUUGUCCUUUUUGAGGAAAGUUCCUCGAAAUUCCCAGAUGGACUCAUUGCUGGGUCCCACUUCAGAUUUCUUUCGUCUACCUUGGCAAUUUUCCACAUUCAAUAGCCAAAGUAAAUAAAAGGAAAAAGGAAAAAAGAAAAAAAGGGGUAAACCUUCCUCAUCUUUUUCAUCAUCAUCGUACCUCAAUCAUCAAGAAGACAGAAUCCUUUCUGGAGCAGAUAACAAGAUUAACGAACCCAAUUUGCCAACGCAAGGAAUAAGAAUAACCCAGAAAUUAAAGUAAAGAACCUGCUCCGAGAUUUCCACCCAUUAGAAGGAAUACCAUUUCUAACUCCUUCGAAUUACCUAACGACAGGGAACACAAGAGAACGUCAGUAAAAUUCCUCCCCCCCGAUCUGCAGACCCCCAUCUCCCAAGCUAUUCUAAUUCGAAAUCCGUGGCUCCCAAGCUAGACAUCAGCAUAAAUCCUCGCCAAUCAUUCGCUCCAUCAUGCAAGAAACCCGCCCUAUAAUUGCCCUCGACCUGGUCUUUCUGCUGCUGGGUCUAAAUAAUCGGACAAGAACAGGACGGGUUUGAGUUUCGCCAAGAACAUAUCGUUCUUGCUCAUUCGUCAGUUGUAAUAUAGAGAGAGAAAGAGAAACGCAGAGAGAAUGGGGAAAGAGAAAGUGGGUUUGGUGGCGUUGGUGUUAAUUGUGUCGAGCUGGGCUGUUUCAUCCGCCCCCUCUUCUCCUUCUUUCAGAGGUGAUCUGAGCAGAGGGAAAGCGUCUUUGACUUUCGGGUCGGCGUCGUCGUCGCUGGUUCUCAAUCGGGUCGGGUCAUCCGUUGUCCUUCCACUCGACGGCAAUGUUCAUCCAAUUGGGUACAUUUCUUGAUUUGUCUUCACUUCAGUUCAGCGUUUCAUUUAUUAGUCGGAGAGAGAGAGAGAUAGGUGAUGCACCUACACUUUUGCUCCUUCAAUGAAUUCUUUAAUACCUAUGUAACGCUCUGUACUGCUGUUGACGUCUAGAAAGUAUGGGUCAUCUCUCACUAUCCAAGUGGGCAUUUAGUAAUCAUUUUAUUUUUAAAAAUAAUUUUUGUUUAAAAAUAAUUUUUUUUAUGACCUUAGAACUACGUACAGCCGGCGGCACAAACCAGGGGAGCACUAGCGCGGGGUCCACCUCCCAUGGCACUCCACUUUAGUCACGCAAAUGGGGGCGCGGAGUUUUGAACCCCUCCUCUCCCGGAUGAGAGGGUAGGGCGCAAACCAAUGCAUCUACCACGGGGUGGGUUAGAAAUAAAAUUUUUUUAUCUUUACUCCUGAGAAUAAUUUUUGAAUUUUUAAAGGCCCUUGGUAAAUACCCACAAUUUUUAUUUCCGUAAUGAACAUGCGUUUAAUAUGACUCUUAAUUUUUUUUAUUUCUUUUAAUUUUUUAAUACAUCUAUCAUCCGUGGCUAGCGACCGGUUUGGCGAGCUUGCUAGAGCCUCAAUAGGCCAGGGCGAGAUUUAGUGAGCUUGUCGGAGGCUCAUUUGGCCACCGCGAGCCUCGAACUCACAAAUCUGGGCAAGGCUCAACCUUGCCCAUGCAACACAAGAUCGGCCCAACCUCGCGUUAGCUAGCAAGGCUAAGCCUAACCAUGACUGGGCGAGGUCAACCUUGCUGAUGGCUAAGUGAGGCUGAGCCUCGCCAUGGCUUGGUGUCAUAAGAGGGCCGGCGACUAGCCAAAAGGAAGAAGAAAGAGAAAAGGACCGAGAGGAGAAGAGAAAAGACUGAGAAUUAGACUUGAUUCUAGGAAUUGUUCCUAAGAACCGUAGCAACUUUUUUCUACUUCUUAAUUAUGUUCCAAAUCUAUUCUUAGGAACAAAAAAAAAAAUGAAUUUUUGUUUUCGAGAACAAACAUUUACCAAAUGGAUUUUUAUUAUUUUUUUACUGUGUUGGAUUGCUAUUUCGUUGGUAUGAUGACCUGAAGAUUCAUCCAAUCCAAUGUAAUGGUGACUUAUGUCUCCCUAAGUGGUAACCGUAGAUGCUAUUAUCACCCCCGUUUAGGAAUUCUUGAAGUUUCGAUAUGUUGAUCAUCAAACUAAAUAUUUCAUGCCAAGGGAUAAUUGCUCGGGAGAUUCCAUAUGGUUACCAUCACAUUGAAGCGGACCUUUCGCAAGGGAAAGUUGUUUUUUGUUUUUUUAAUAUGUUUCCAUACAAUUCCUUUCUAUAUGUCAUAGAGAUGCAGUGCUUUUCUUGACUUUCUCGAUCCCCCGGUGUUUCUUAAUUGUUAACUUUAUUCUCACCUUGCCUCUCAUUCGUUUUGUUUCCCUUUUCUGUCACACUUUGCUAAUUGGCUAUUCAAUCUUUCGAAGCAUGAUGCUCCUCUCUUCAUGCAAUAAUUAGAUCUGAAGAUUAUAAAAGCUUGUGUAUUUCCAAGAUUGAUGAUCAAGUAAACUGCCCAUUUUAGGUCAUAUAACGCAACUGUCUACGUCGGGCAGCCGCCAAAGCCUUACUUUCUUGAUCCCGACACUGGUAGUGACCUGACUUGGCUCCAAUGUGAUGUCCCUGGUGCACAUUGUACCCCGGUAAAUUUUAAUACUUUUUAGGUGUCGUAUUGACUUGUUUCUCAAACCUAUGAAUUUUGGACGGUAAUCCUAAAACUUCGCUCUGAUGUUUGUUUUGGACGGUCUCGUGAUGUUAUGCGGGGCGAUAAGUCCUGAUAACUUUCCACCAUUUUCUUAUUGCAGACACCACAUCCACGUUAUCCACCCAGCCCUGACAUAGUAGAUUGCAGUGACCCAAUUUGCGCGUCCCUGCAUUCAGGCGACUACAGAUGUGACCACCCAGAGCAAUGUGACUACGAGGUGGAGUAUGCAGAUGGCGGCUCUUCUCUUGGUGCACUUGUAAAGGAUGUCGUUUCUUUCAGGUCCUACAGCAGCAGCAGGGUUCUUAGUGCUCGUGUCGCCCUUGGGUAGGUGAAUUCACAUGCUCUCCCAAUUAUGUUUGGCCAGGCUUACUGACUAUACCAACUCAGCAUUUUAUGAUACCAUACUUUCUUUUGGCCAGACAGGAAAUUCUUCAUUUAUGUCAAGAGCCUGCUCAGAUCAAUUUUGCCUAUUUAACCAUUUAUCAUGUGCUAAUGGUUCCUCUACAGAUGUGGAUAUGAUCAGAAACCAAGUCCGUACAACGUUCCUUUCUUAGACGGAGUGCUCGGGCUCGGUAAGGGAAGGUCCAGCAUCGUAUCACAGCUAAGUAGUCGAGGUUUGGUGGCGAACGUACUAGGCCACUGCUUGAGUACGCGUGGUGGUGGAUUUCUCUUCUUCGGUGAUGAUCUUUAUGACUCCUCCCGCAUCUCGUGGACGCCUAUGUCUCGUGAUUACCCGUAUGUUCUCUGUUCUUCCACUUUUUCACCAUCUCAAUGUCUCUCAUCUCUCAUCUACUAAAAUUGAACUUUGUUAUAUUUAUCUCAGAAAGCACUAUUCUCCUGAGACCGCGGAGCUCCUUUUUGCGGGGAAACCUACUGGACAGAAAAAUUUGUUGCUAGUUUUUGAUAGCGCGAGCACUUAUACUUACUUCAGUUCUGAGGCAUAUCGAGCCUUAUCUUUGAGGGUGAGUUAGAGGCGAUUGUGAACUAGUAUGUGAAAAUUUGGGACAAAAAGCAACAUCACACUUACUGUGUCACUAUUUACAUCCAAACAUAUUUACCAUCUUUCCAGUAUUUUCAGUUGUGCCCGAGUUUUCUUGAGUUCUAAUACCUUUCAUAAAAAAAAUAAAAAAAUAAAAAGGAAAAUUGAGAGAUGACAGCAUAAAAACUUCUCUCCUUUCAGGUGACAAAUGAACUGGAAAAACUAAGCGGAAAGCCCUUCACCGAAAUACGCGACCCCGAGCUCCCACUCUGCUGGAAAGGCAGGCAGUCUUUCAAAAACAUCCGUGAAGUCAGGAAGUACUUCAAACCCUUUGCACUCACCUUUAAUAGCGGUAAAAGAACCAAAACCCAAUUUGAAGUUCCCCCCGAAUCAUAUUUGAUUAUAUCGGUGAGUGAAUGCCUUCAUCUAUCGAAACUCUGGCAAGUUAGAUAUGUACGUUUUUUGUUAACUGCAAUGGUUUUGACAGAAAAUGGGAAAUGUCUGCAUGGGAGUUUUAAAUGGAACUCAAGAAAAACUCGGAGAUACGAAUGUGAUUGGAGGUAAGAGUCUUCCAUAUGGUGGCAUUUUCAUCACGGAAUUAGUUUCGCACCUGAGACAUUGUCAUUGAAAAUUUGAAAAGGAAGGAAAUCAUCAAAAAUAUGGUUAGACAACAAUAAAAUGUCCUUGGAGAUCAUAUCCUUUCAAAUGUACUGCACUAUUGCGGUGAAGCAGAUUUAUUUAAUUUAAUUUUGUAUCUGCCCUUGUUUGUCGGUUUGCAGACAUAUCAAUGCAGGACAAGAUGGUGAUCUACGACAAUGCUAACCAUUGUCUGGGAUGGGCUUCUGAAGAUUGCAGUCAGCUUCCAAAGUCCAGAGCAUUUGCAGCCUAAUUGACAAGAAGCUCCUCAUCGUAUCUCUGUACUUCCAGAUUAAAAUCAUGGAAAUGCUGGGCUUCAAAUCAAGCCUUCUCCUAAGAAGCUUAUCAUAGCCAAGUCACUUGUAAAAUAAGCCAUGACUAAUGUUUUUUCCUUUGUCUUACUGGACUGGAUGUUAUGUGUACAAUAAAAUUGCUUACGGGUACACCCGAAGCCAAUUCAAUUACAGCCACGCUUAAUAAGUAUUGCAAUGCUGAGAAUCAGUAGAAACCGAUCCUUAUUCACACUCCAGCUUCUUGUUCAGCCUAGUAUUUCAGAUUUUAUUUACCUUAUUGACACAUAAAUUUCACAUAAAUUAAUUAAUUUAAAGUAGUGUUAAAGGUUAGGAAUUAGUCACAAAAAGGGGUUAUUAUUAAAAAAAAAGAGUUAAAAAAAUUUCGAAAAAAAAAAACCAAACGAAAAUGGUCGGGUUGGGCCGGAUUCGACCUUGGCCCGACCCGCCCCUCUCUUUUUCUUCCCCUCGCACUGGGCCUGGCCCAAUCUCCUUUCUCUUUCAGCGUUUCUAUUUAGAGCUAUUUACGUCGCUAAACUAAAUUUUAUCAGGCUCAUAAAAAAUGAACAUUUAUUCCCACAUAAGUUUUCGCUUUUCCCCUUUUUCCAACCCCAUAACAUGGGUUGUCCUUUUUGAGGAAAGUUCCUCGAAAUUCCCAGAUUGACUCAUUGCUGGGUCCCACUUCAGAUUUCUUUCGUCUACCUUGACAAAAAUAAAUAAAACGAAAAAGGAAAAAAGAAAAAAGGGUAAACCUUCCUCAUCUUUUUGAUCAUCAUCGUACCUCAAUCAACAAGAAGACAGAGGGUGCGUUUGGGAACCACUUCCCAAAGCCCCUUUGAAGCCUAAAGGUACUUGGCCAAAUGCUAGGCCGUUUGGGAAAAAAAUUUGAGCCCGCAUUCAGGGAAUGCCAGCAUGUGUGAAGCCGAAAGCCCAAGGCAGGGGGGGACCUGCCUUGGGCUUUCGGCUUUUUCGGCAUGCCCACACGGGCACUGUUCAUAACUUUUUUUUUCCGAAAUUGUCCUCACGAAUGUUUUGUUUUUCCGGUUCUUGCCCUUGUGUCGCAACUGUUCAUCUUCUCUGGGGGAUUCGGUUCCGGCUGACUGUGAGCGGCCGGCGACUGCUAGAGGGACGCCGGCGAUCGUCGGGGGGUGGCGCGACCGACGCCGGAGAUGGCGCAACCGACGCCGGAGGUGGCGCGACCGAGGGCUGGGUCACCGCAAACCCAGAUCUGGGGCGGCAGACGGUCUUCUCCUUCCGCGAGCUUCUUCUUCCGCGAGCGGUCGCCGGCGACCGUCGCCCAGACGAGCGACGCCAGGCGGUGGCGCGACCGCCGCGACCCACGGCAAGGUCUGGGUCACCGCGACCCAGAUCUGGGGCGGCAGGGUCGCGGGAGGACCUUGCCGCCCACGAUUUGGGUUGCGCGACCUCGCGGCCCUCGGAUCUGGGUCGCGGCGGCGUCGCGCGACCUCCUGCGACCUCGCCGCCCCAGUUCCGAGGGCGGCGCGGUCGCGCGACCCCGCCGCGACCUAGAUCCGGGGCGGCGAGGUCCUCCCGCGACCUCGCUGCCCCAGAUCCGGCGUCGCCGGAGGUCGCCGGAGGUCGCGACGGCGUCGCGCGACCUCGCUGCCCCAGAUCCGGCGUCACCGGAGGUCGCCGGAGGUCGCCGGAGGUCGCCGAAGGUCGCCGGCGGCCACUCUGCCCUUUUGGUCAAUUUUUUUUAAUUUUUCUUUUGAUAAUUUUUUUUUUACCACAAAGAUCUUUUGCAAGUGUAAUUUCCCAAACGCUAUUUUGCUCAAAAUACUUUACAAAGAGCUUUCAAAGUGUAAUUUACCAAACAUGGUUGCAUUUUGGAAAACACCUUUAAGUCAAAGGUAUUUGCAUUUUCCUAAAGACAUUCCCCAAAAGUAGUUCCCAAACGCACCCAGAAUCCUUUCUGGGGCAGAUAACGAGACUAACGACCCCAAUUUGCCAACGCAAGGAAUAAGCAUAACCCAGAAAUUAAAGAAAAGAACCUGGUCGAAGAUUUCCACCCAUUAGAAGGAAUACCAUUUCUAACCCCUUCGAAUUACCAAAACGACAGGGAACACAAGAGACGUCAUUUAAAUUCCUCCCCCCCGACCUGCAGACCCCCAUCUCCCAAGCUAUUCCAAUUCGAAAUCCGUGGCUCACAAGCUAGACAUCAGCAUAAAUCCUCGCCAAUCUUUGGCUCCACAUGCAAGAAACCCGCCCUAUUAUUGCCCUUGACCUGGUCUUUCUGCGGCUGUGUCUGAAUAAUCGGACAAGAACUGGGAGGGGUUUGAGUUUCACCAAGAACGUAUCGUUCUUGCUCAUUCGUCCGUUGUAAUACAGAGAGAGAGAGAGAGAGAGUGUGUGGAAAGAGAAAGUGGGUUGGGUGGCGUUGCUGAUAAUUGUGUCGAGCUGGUGUGUAUCGUCGUCCUCCCACUCCUCUUCUUCUUCUUUCAGAGGUGAUCUGAGCAGACGCAAAGCACCUUUGACUUUUGGGUCGGCGUCGGCGUCGUCGCUGGUUCUCAAUCGGGUCAGGUCAUCCGUUGUCCUGCCACUCCACGGGAAUGUUUUCCCAAUUGGGUACACUUCUUGACCUGUCUUCACUUCAGUUCAGCGUUUCAUUUAUUAGUCAGAGAGAGAGAGGUGAUGUACCUGCAGUUUGGCUUGUUCAAUGAAUUCGUGAAUACCUUUGUGACUCUCCGUUGUGCUGUUGACGUUUAGAAAGCGUGGGUCAUCUCUCACUAUUUAAGGAUCUAUUUAAUAACGCUUCUAUUUCGAAAAAUAAUUUAUUUUCAGAGAUAAUCUUUUUUCUAUUUAUAUUUCCUGGAAACAAUUUCUAACUGAAACGCGUUUAGUAAUUACAUAAAAAAAUUUAUUUUCAAAAUAAAAAAAGAAUAGAAAUGCGUUUGAUAUAAUUCACGAAAUUUUAUAUAAUGUAGAAUUUCUUUUAAUUUUUUUUUCUUAUUCUUCCUUACCAUCACCACUGUCUACCGUCACCAGUCACCGCCAAUCCCUGCCACAGAUGAUUGCCAAUGACGCCUGGGGUUGAUGGUGGCCGGCGGUGGCACUCGGUGAUGGCGGUGGGCAACAACGAUGAGCGGCGAGCUGUGGUGAUCAAUGGCGAUGAGCAAUAGGCAACAUAGUCAGCGAGCGGCGGGCGGCGACAACCAAAGGUGGCGGUCGACGGCGGCCACAAUAGUGGGCAACGGCAACGAUUGGUGGUCAAGGGCAAGUGGUAGAUUGGGGUGGUAGCCAGCAAAGAAGAAGAAAAAAAGGAAAAAGAAAAAAAAUUAUUUAUGAAAAUUGUUUUCAGGAACAAGAUACUUUUUCCUACUUAUUGUUUCUGUUCUAAAUCUAUUCCUCGUCCACUUUUAUUCCAACAAAUAAAAAAAUUAAUUAACGUUACCAAAUAGAUUUCUAUUUUUCUUUUGUUUCAAUGAAUAAAAGAAUAGAAAUUUGGAGAAACAUAAAUGUUAUGAAACAGGGCCUAAAUGUCUUUGAUGAUAUAAAAAGGUCUUUUUUCCUCUAAAAGUUAAAAAAAGUUCCUACAGUUCGGCUAGUUACUGCCUUGAAUUGCUGUUUCGUUGGUAUGAUGACAUGAAGAUUCAUCCAAUCCAAUGUUAUGGUGACUUAUGUCUCCCUAAGUGGUAACCAUAGAUACUAUUAUGACUCCCAUCUAGGAAUUCCCGAAGUUUCAAUAUGUUGAUCAUCAAACUAAAUCUUUCAUGGCAAGGGAUAAUUGCUCGGGAGAUUCUAUAUGGUUAUCAUCACAUUGAAGGGGAUCUUUAGCAAGGGAAAGAUGUGUUUUUUUUUUUUUUUUCAGUUUCUGUACAUUUCCUUUCUAAAUGUCAUAAAGAUGCAGUUCUUUUCUUAACUUUCUCGAUCCCCGGUGUUUUCCAAUUGUUAACUUUAUUCUCAUUUUGCCUGUCAUUUGUUUUGUUUCCCUUUUCUAUCACACUUUGCUAAUUGGUUGUUCAAACUUUCGGAGCACAAUGCUCCUCUCUUCAUGCAAUAAUUAGAUCUGAAGAUUAUAAAAGUUUGUGUAUUUCCAAGAUUGAUUAUCAAGUGAACUGCCCAUUUCAGGUCAUAUAAUGCAACUAUCUACAUCGGGCAGCCGUCAAAGCCUUACUUUCUUGAUCUCGACACUGGUAGUGACCUCACUUGACUCCAAUGUGAUGCCCCUUGUGUACAAUGUACCCGGGUAAAUUUUAAUAGUUUGUAGGUGUCGUAUUGACUUGUUUCUCAAACCUAUGAAUUCUGGAUGGUAAUCCUAAGACUUUGCUAUGUUUGUUUUGAAUGGUCUCAUGAUGUUAUGUGGGGCGAUAAGUCCUUAUGACUUUCCACCAUUUUAUUAUUGCAGACACCACAUCCGCUUUAUCCACCCAGCGGUGACCUAGUAGAUAGCAGUGACCCAAUUUGCACGUCCCUACAAUCCGACGACUACAAAAAAGACCGCCUGGAGCGAUGUGGCUACGGGGUUCAGUAUGCAGAUGGUGGCUCUUCUCAUGGUUUCCUUGUAAAGGAUGACGUUCAUUUCGAGUCCAACCGCGACAGGGUUCUUAGUCCUCAUGUCGCCCUCGGGUAGGUGACUUCACAUGCUCUCCCAAUUAUGCUUGGCCACGCCUACUGAUUUUACCAACUCAGCAUUUUAUGAUACCAUACUUUCUUUUGGCCAGACAGGAAAUUCUUCAUCUAUGUCAAGAGCCUGCUCAGAUCAAUUUUGCCUAUUUAACCAUUUAUCAUGUGUUGAUAGUUCCUCUACAGAAGUGGAUAUAAUCAGAUACCCGGUCAGUACCUUACUUACUUAGACGGAGUGCUCGGGUUCGGUAAGGGAAGGUCCAGCCUUGUUUCACAGCUAAGUAGUCAAGAUUUGGUGGCGAACGUACUAGGUCACUACUUGAGUACUCGUGGUGGUGGAUUUCUCUUCUUCGGUGAUGAUCUUUAUGACUCCUCUCGCAUCUCGUGGACGCCUAUGUCUCGUGAUCCGUAAAUUCUCUAUUCUUCCACUUUUUCACCAUCUCAAUAUCUCUCAUCUCUCAUUUACUAAAAUUGAACUUUGUUAUAUUUAUCUCAGAAAGCACUAUUCUCCCGGGACCGCGGACCUCCUUUUUGCGAGGAAACCUACUGGACAGAAAAAUCUGUUGCUUGUUUUCGAUAGCGGGAGCACUUAUACUUACUUCAGUUCUGAGGCAUAUCAAGCCUUAUCUUUGAGUGUGAGUUAAGAGGCAAUUGUGAACUAGUAUGUGAAAAUCUGGGAAAAAAUGCAACAUCACACUUAGCGCGCCACUAUUCACAUCCAAACAAAUCACCAUCUUUCCAGGAUUUUCAGUUGUGCUUAAGUUUUCUUGAGUACUAAUGCCUAUUAAGUUGAGAAGUAACACCUUUCAUUAAAAAUAAAAAUAAAAAUUGAGAGAUAAAACCGUAAAAAACUUAACUCUCUUCUUUCAGGUGGACGAAGAACUAUGCAGAAAGCACUUCACCGAAGCAGUAGACGACUGCACGCUCCCACUCUGCUGGAAAGGCCGGAAGCCUUUCAAAAACAUCGGCGACGUCACGAAGUACUUCAAACCCUUUGCACUCAGCUUUGCACUCAGCUUUAAUAGCGGUGGAAGAGCCCAAAACCAAUUUGAAGUUCCCCCCGAAUCAUAUUUGAUUAUAUCGGUGCGUCAAUGCCGUCAUCCAUCAAAACUCUGGCAAGUUAGAUAUGUACGUUUUUUGCUAACUGCAAUGGUUUUGACAGGACAAGGGAAAUGUCUGCAUGGGAGUUUUAAACGGAACUGAAGUAGGGUUCGAAAAUGUGAAUGUGAUUGGAGGUAAGAAUCUUCCAUAUGGUGGCAUUUUUAUCAUGGAAUUAGUUUCGCACCUGAGACAUUGUCAUGGAAAAUUUCAAAAGGAAGGAAAUCAUCAAAUAUAUGAUUAGACAACAACAAAAUGUCGUCGGAGAUCAUAUCCAUUCAGAUGCACUGCACCAUCGAGGCGAAGCAGAUUUAUUUCAUUUAAUUUUUUCUCUACCCUUGUUUGUCGGUUUUGCAGACACAUCGAUGCAGGACAAGAUGGUGAUCUACGACAACGAGAGGCAAUCGCUGGGAUGGGAUUCUAAAGGUUGCAGUCGAUUUCCAAAGUCCAGAGCAUUCGCAGCCUAAUUGACAAGAAGCUCCUCAUCGUGUCUCUGUACUUCCAGAUCAGAAUCAUGGAAGCCCUGCGCCUCAAACUAAGCCUUCGCCUAAGAAGCUUAUUAUUGCCAAGUCACUUGUAAAUAAGCCAUGACUAAUGCUUUCCUUCGUCUUACUGUGCUGGAUGUUAUGUGUACAACAAAAUUGCUUACGGGUAUAUCCCAAGCCAAUUCAAUUACAGCCACGCAUAAUAAGUACUACCAUGUUGAGAAUCAGUAGAAACCGAUCCUUAUUCACACUCCAGCUUAUUGUUCAGCCCAAUAUUCCAGAUUUAUUUACCUUCCAUUGAGUGAAACUCAAGCCUAGAGGCAUAUUCCACCACAAGAGCUGAAGAGUUUUCAAAUUGAACAAAGGCCAUAGAAUUAUUAAUCAAACCACCAAUUCAAUCAUAUGCACUAAUCCAAUUAACAUGUAUUUCUUCGAAACAUGAACCAUUCAACAUGAACCAUUUUUCUCAGUUAUAACCCCAACCGAAGAUUUUAAUGUAAUGUUAUGAUUAGAUCACAUAAGACAUCAAUCUUAUAUAUCUAUAUAUAACAAAAGGAUAGAUUCUAUAUUGCGUAUGCAUGUACCUUCGUAUGUGAACAAACUAUAACUAUCAAGUACAGAGACGGUCUAACGAAUCAUCAAAAUGUGCACUUGUAAACCACAGCCAACGCAAGGAAUAAGCAUAACGCAGAAAUUAAAGUAAAGAACCUGCUCGGAGAGAUUUCCACCCAUCAGAAGGAAUGCCAUUUCUAACUCCUUCGAAUUACCGAACGACAGGGAAAACAAGAAACGUCAUUAAAAUUCCUCCCCCCGGUGUGCAGACCCCCAUCUCGCAAGCUAUUCCAAUUCGAAAUCCGUGGCUCCCAAGCUAGACAUCAGCAUAAAUCCUCGCUGAUCAUUCGCUCCAUCAUGCAACAAACCCGCCCUUUAAUUGCCCUCGACCUGCUCUCCCUGCUGCUGGGUCUGAAUAAUCGGACAAGAACAAGGACGGGUUUGAGUUUCGCCAAGAACAUAUCAUUCUUGCUCAUUCGUCAGUCGUAAUUCAAAGAGAGAGGCGGGGAGAAUGGGGAAAGAGAAAGUGGGUCUGGUGGCGUUAGUGAUAAUUGUGUCGAGCUGGUGUGUUACCUCCUCCUCCUACUCCUCUUCUUCUUCUUUCAGAGGUGAUCUGAGCAGAGGCAAAGCGCCUUCAACUUUCGGGUCGGUAUCGUCGUCGCUGGUUCUCAACCGGGUCGGGUCAUCCGUUGUCCUUCCACUCCACGGCAAUGUUUACCCAACUGGGUACACUUCUUGACCUGUCUUCACUUCAGUUCAGCGUUUCAUUUAUCAGUCAGAGAGAAAGAGAGAGAGAGAGAGAGAGAGAGAGUGGUGAUGGACCUGCAUUUUGGCUUCUUCAAUGAAUUCUUGAAUACCCGUGUGACUCUCUUGUGCUGUUGACGUUUGGAAAGCGUGGGUCAUCUCUCACUAUCUAAAUGUCUUUGGUGAUAUGAAAAGGUCUUUUUUCCUCUAAAAGUUAAAAAAUUCCUACAGUUCGGCUAGUUACCGCGUUGGACUGCUAUUUCGUUGGUAUGAUGACCUGAAGAUUCAUCCAAUCCAAUGUCAUGGUGACUUAUGUCUCCCUAAGUGGUAACCAUAGAUACUAUUAUCACCCCCAUUUAGGAAUUCCUGAAGUUUCAAUAUGUUGAUCAUCAAACUAAAUCUUUCAUGCGAAGAGAUAAUUGCCCGGGAGAUUCUAUAUGGUUAUCAUCACAUUGAAGCGGAUCUUUCGCAAAGGAAAGUUGUGUAUUUUUCAGUUUCCAUACAUUUCCUUUCUAUAUGUCAUAGAGAUACAGUGCUUUUCUUAACUUUCUCAAUCCCCAGUGUUUCUCAAUUGUUAACUUUAUUCUCACUUUGCCUGUCAUUCGUUUUCUUGUUUCCCUUUUCUGUCACACUUUGCUAAUCGGCUGUUCAAUCUUUCAAUGCACAAUGCUCUUCGCUUUAUGCAAUAAUUAGAUCUGAAGAUUAUAAAAGCUUGUACAUUAGCAAGAUUAUCAAGUGAACUGCCCAUUUCAGGUCAUAUAAUGUAACUGUCUACAUUGGGCAACCGCCAAAGCCUUACUUUCUUGAUCCCGACACUGGUAGUGACCUCACUUGGCUCCAAUGCAACGCCCCUUGUGUACGAUGCACCCCGGUAAAUUUUAAUAGUUUUCAGGUGUCGUAUCGACUUGUUUCUCAAACCCAUGAAUUCUAGUUGAUAAUCCUAAAACUUUACUCGGAUGUUUGUUUUGAACGGUCUCAUGAUGUUAUGCGGGAUGAUAAGUCUUGAUAACUUUCCACUAUCUUCUAAUUGCAGACGCCGCAUCCGCUUUAUCCACCCAGCGACGACCUAGUAGAUAGCAGUGACCAAAUUUGUAGGUCCCUGCAACCGAGCAAUAACAAAAGUGACCGCCUCAAGCGAUGUAGCUAUGGGAUUCAGUAUGCAGAUGGUGGCUCUACUCGUGGUUUCCUUGUAAAGGAUGUCAUUGAUUUCGAUUUCAAGUCCAACCGCGGUGGGGUUCUUAGUCCUCGUGUUGCCCUCGGGUAGGUGACUUCACAUGCUCUCCCAAUUAUGUUUGGCCAGGCCUACUGAUUUUACCAACUCAACAUUUUCUGAUACCAUACUUUCUUUUGGCCAGACUGGAAAUUCUUCAUUUAUGUCACAGAAUAUUUCCUUUGCAACCAUUUCUUAUGUGGUGAUAGUUCCUCUACAGAUGUGGAUAUGAUCAGAUACCCAGUCCGUACACUCCUUGCUUCGACGGAGUGCUCGGGCUCGGUAAGGGAGAGUCCAGCAUCGUAUCACAGCUAAGUAGUCAAGGUUUGGUGGCGAACGUAGUAGGCCACUGCUUGAGUACGCGUGGUGGUGGAUUUCUCUUCUUCGGUGAUGGUCUUUAUAACUUCUCCCGCAUCACGUGGAGGCCUCUGUCUUAUAAAUCGUAAAUUCUCUGUUCUUCCACUUUUUCACCAUCUCAAUAUCUCUCAUCUCUCAUUUACUAAAAUUGAACUUUGUUAUAUUUGUCUCAGAAAGCGCUAUUCUCCUGUUGGGACCGCGGAGCUCUUUUUUGCGGGGAAACCUACUGGACAGAAAAAUCUGAAGCUUCUUUUCGAUAGCGGGAGCACUUAUACUUACUUCAGUUCUAAGGCAUAUGAAGCCUUAUCUUCUAGGGUGAGUUAGAGGCAAUUGUGAACUAGUAUGUGAAAAUCUGGGACAAUAUGCAACAUCACACUUAGUGUGUCACAUUCACAUCCAUACAUAUCACCGUCUUUACAGGAUUUUUAGUUGGGCUCGAGUUUUCUUGAGUACUAAUGCCUAUUAAGUUUGAGGAGUAACACCUUUCGUCGAAAAAAAAAAAACAGAAGAAAAAAUUGAGAGAUGACACCAUAAAAACUUCUCUCUUCUUUCAGGUGAAGAAUGAACUAAUCGGAAAGCCCUUCACCGAAAUACGCGACCCCGACCUCCCACUCUGCUGGAAAUGCCGGAAGUCUUUCAAAGACAUCCGCGAUGUCACGAAGUACUUCAAACCCUUUGCACUCACCUUUAAUAGAGGUGAAAGUACUGAAAGCCAAUUUGAAGUUCCCCCCGAAUCAUAUCUGAUUAGAUCGGUGAGUGAAUGCCUUCAUCUAUCGAAACUCUGGCAAGUCAGAUAUGUACGUUUUUUGUUAACUGCAAUGGUUUUGACAGGUCAUGGGAAAUGUCUGCAUGGGAGUAUUAAAUGGAACUCAAGCAGGGCUCAAAGAUAGGAAUUUGAUUGGAGGUAAGAGUCUUCCAUAUGGUGGCAUUUUUAUCACGGAAUUAGUUUCGCACCUGAGACAUUGUCAUUGAAAAUUUGAAAAGGAAGGAAAUCAUCAAAGAUAUGAUUAGACAACAAUAAAAUGUCCUCGGAGAUCAUAUCCAUUCAGAUCUACUGCACUAUUGCGGCGAAGCAGAUUUAUUUCAUAUAAUUUUGUAUCUGCCCUUGUUUGUCGGUUUUGCAGACACAUCGAUGCUGGACAAGAUGGUGAUCUACGACAAUGCUAACCAUUUUCUGGGAUGGGCUUCUGAAGAUUGCAGUCAGCUUCCAAAGUCCAGAGCAUUUGCAGCCUAAUUGACAAGAAGCUCCUCAUCGUAUCUCUGUACUUCCAGAUUAGAAUCAUGGAAAUGCUGGGCUUCAAAUCAAGCCUUCUCCUAAGAAGCUUAUCAUAGCUAAGUCACUUGUAAAAUAAGCCAUGACUAAUGUUUUUUCCUUUGUCUUACUAGACUGGAUGUUAUGUGUACAAUAAAAUUGCUUAUGGGUACACCCAAAGCCAAUUCAAUUACAGCCACGCUAAUAAGUAUUGUCAUGUUGAGGAUCAGUAGAAACCACACACUCCAGCGUCUUGUUCAGCUCAGUAUUCCAGAUUUUAGUUACCUUGUUGACACCUAAAUUUCACAUAAAUUAAUUAAUUUAAAGUAGUGUUAAAGGUUAGGAAUUAGUCACAAAAAACAGGUUAUUAUUAAAAAAAAAAAAGAGUUAAAAAAAUUUCGAAAAAAAAAUCGAAAAAAAAAAAACAAACGAAAAUGGUCGGGUCGGGCCGGAUUCGACCUUGGCCCGACCCGCCCCUCUCUUUUCUUCCCCUCGCACUGGGCCUGGCCCAAUCUCCUUUCUCUUUCGACCUCGGCCCAGCCCCUCCUUCCCUUCUGCUGGUCUUCGCUCGAAGACUUGCAGGAGACCGAGCAGCAGGAGAGCAGUGAAAACAGGGGCAGCAGAGGAUCGGUGGCAGGCGAGCGGCGUGAUCCGCGGGUCGGGGGGUGCAGUCCGGCCGGCAAGCUGGCAGUUGCAGAGGCCAUGCGCGCUUGCUGGCCGAGGAUAAAACCGGAGGGGAUCGGAACCAAAAAAAAAGGGAGGAAGCUGAGAGCGAGCGAGAGAGGAACACGGAGGGAAAGAGAGGCUGAACCAGAGGCAGGAAGCUCGAGGGAGCAGCCCGUCGUCACCAGAAGUUCGUUCGCCAGCCGUUAUCCGCCGUAGCCCAUCACCGGACGAGGUAGGUCUCCUGAACCCCGCGGUCUCGUUCCCGGAAAACGCUGGGCCGGAGCUCACGGUCGACCGGUUCGCGUGAGCUCCGGUCCACGUCGCCUUUGCACUUUGCUCCCAUGUCCUCCUACGUUAUAUGUUGAGACCCCUAAAGCGUGUUCGGCGUUCGGUUGAGCCGAAAUCCUUCGAGUUCGGUAGUGCAAACCAGGUGUUCGACAAAAUUCCUCAAAGAAAACCGAGGAGUAGCUCGCGUUUUAACGCCGGACCCAUUCAUUUUCCCCCUCAUGCUUGCUGAAUCCUUGUUGCUUUGCCCUGAUUUGUUGUGUUUUCGGACGGUUUGCGCGAGAUAUUGGCAUGUAGUUGGACCGAGGACUCGUUUCGUCGGAAAUAGAUUAGGGGUUGCCGGAAUAGGUAAUCGGCGACGGUCGAGGGGGACGACCGGUGAGCGGCAGUGGUCCGGCGACUUCCUUAGGGCGGUCAGAACUCGUGGUGUUGUCGACGUCGGACCGGCGGAGGAGCUGCAGAAGCUUCGGCAUGUCGCGGCUGCGGGAGGGGAGACCCCGAAGAAGACGAUCAAAAAGGGAGUAAAAAAAAAAGAGCACAAAAAGAUUAAAAAAUAGGAAAAGAGGAAUGGGCUUCGUUUUGGGCCGUUUUAGUGCAUAGGGCUUGUGGACUUCGUUUUAAAACCAAAAAAGAAACUUAGACUAGGUUGGGCCUGCUGGUUAGGCCCAAUUCGAAUUUAAUUGAAGGCCUGAUUGGGCCUUGCUCUUUUCCGAGCGGGCCAAUCAACCCGUCCCCCAGCCGGACCCGACUCUGCUGACCGGGCUGAACCGGGUCGGAUUAGACCGGAUCCGACCCGGUUCGAUCCCAAAAUUUUAUUAUUAAAAAAAAAUCGAAAAUCCAAAAAAAUAAUGUUAAAAAAAUUAAAUUUUUAAUUUUUAAUUAAAAAAUUUCGAAAAAUCCAAAAUUGUUUGUGUUGGUUGGAAAUUGCUUUGUAUUUCCAUUUUAAGCGUAAUUAUGCAUUUAUUUUGAUUACAUCGCAUGUUUAGAUUGCAUAUCUUGUUAUGUUUAAUGGUAUGUGUAUAGUCUUAUGGUAAUUAUGUCAUUGUUAGCUAUGAUUAUUGGGUUUAAUGAUUGCGCAUCCGCAUGAUUACCUCAUAUGUUAGUGGAUAGUUAUAAAAUCAAUCUAAACUGUUGACAAAAAUCAUUUUGUUAAAAUGAACAAAAUUAUGUACCGAAAUGGCACUAAUUGGUUAAUUAGUGUAACCAAAUCCCCGACCCUAAAUUUUUUGAUUGCAUAGGAAGUGAGAUACACUCCCAUGCUUCACUUGAUUUCUAGCCGACCCUAAUAGGUUAAUAGCGAAUCAUUUUUUUGUGAAAAUCUUUAAAAAUAUGCCAAUGUCACGCGGGGUAUGGACUUGGGAGAGCUCGCAUCUAAUCAUGGACUUUAGGUCCGUCCUUUAGGCAAUACCCCUAAGCCUAUUCCCUCCCCCCAAGGGUAGGUCGCGACAUACCUUUAGUUGAGUGAAACUCAAGCCUAGAGGCAUAUUCCACCACAAGAGUCAAAGAGUUUUCAAGUUGAAUUGAAAAACUGGAAAGGACACCAUCGCUUGUCAAAAACAAGAGACGAGUUGGAUAUUCGUCAUAGGAAAUGAGAUACAUUCUUCGCUUUUUACUAGCAGUUGUUUCUUAAUGCACCAACCGUUGUCUAUGCUUACUCAUUCUUUUAUAAAUACUGAACACUUUGUUCCUUCUUUGAUGUGUUCAAUUCUAUGCACUUCAAUAUCUUCACGCAAAAACACUAUCGUUACGUUUGGUCGUCUAAAUUUCUAACUAUGACAUAACUAAGUAUGAUAUGAUAUGAAAUCUAGAGAAUUUUGCUAUAUUUUAUUCACUGUUUGGUGAUUGUAAUAAUAAAGUCCGAUAUAUUUACAUCAUAUUAUAUAUAUUGUUUGGUAUAAACGUCUAUAUGAAUCACAAAUUUUACAAACAAAUAUGGUAAAAAUAUUUCAGGACACUCUUGUCUAAUUUAUUUUUAUUUCCUUUUUUAUUUUAUUUUCCUCUAUUUUUAAUUAAUUUAUUUUCAUUUAUUUCUUCUAUUUCUUUCAUUCUCUAAUAAAAUUUUAUUAAAUAGAAAAUUGUACUAAUAUACCUAAAAUACUAAAAUACAUAAAAUAUGUAAUAAAUAUAUAUUUAUAUAUUGAAUGUAUAUAAUAAGACAUAAUUAAAUUCGAAUAUAUAAAUACAAAUAAGAUUAAAUUUAAAACUAGAGUUUUAUUUUUUGUUAUUUUGAAUUUCUUAUAUUAGAAUUCAAAUAUUAUUUACAUUGAAAUAUAAUUUUAAUUUGUUAAUUUAAGAAAUUUGUUAUUUGAGAAAAAAAAAACUUAUUAAAAAUUCUAUUUGUCUUUAUCUCACUUUCCUCAUAAAAUAAUUUUAUCUAGUUUAUAUUUUUUUUUAUACUUGAUUUUAUUCUAUCUUGAGUAGACACCAUAUGCAAAAUAUAAUAAAUUUUAUCAUAUUUUGAAUUUUAUUCUGAUCGUCACACAACCUAUCUUUCUCCAAUUAUUGAUAUCAAAUUUCAUGCUAUUCCUACUCUACCUAAAUAACAAGAUGCGCACUGUUUUGAAGGUAUAGUAAAUCUCGGAAGAUAGUCUCGGCACACCUUCUACACCUUAUGAGUGAUAGAAAUAGUCAAUUAGAAUUAGUUUUCGCAUGCAUAAAAAAUUUGAAAUAUUUGUAUUUAUGUACGAUGGCUGCCCAGAUUUUACAGCAAAUCUCUCAUUAUUCUGAAUCGAUGCCUAUGUAGAGCUAUUCACAUCACUAAACUAAAUUUUAUCAGGCUCAUAAAAAAUGAACCUUUAUUUCCUCAUAAGUUUUCGCUUUUGCCCUUUUUCCAACCCCAAAAAAUGGGUUGUCCUUUUUGAGGAAAGUUCCUCGAAAUUCCCAGAUUGACUCAUUGCUGGGUCCCACUUCAGAUUUCUUUCGUCCACCUUGACAAAAAUAAAUAAAACGAAAAAAGGAAAAAAGAAAAAAAGGGUCAAAACCUUCCUCAUCUUUUUGAUCAUCAUCGUACCUCAAUCAUCAAGAAGACAGAAUCCUUUCUGGGGCAGAUAACGAGACUAACGACCCCAGUUUGCCAACGCAAGGAAUAAGCAUAACCCAGAAAUUAAAGAAAAGAACCUGGUCGAAGAUUUCCACCCAUUAGAAGGAAUACCAUUUCUAACCCCUUCGAAUUACCAAAACGACAGGGAACACAAGAGACGUCAUUUAAAUUCCUCCCCCCCGACCUGCAGACCCCCAUCUCCCAAGCUAUUCCAAUUCGAAAUCCGUGGCUCCCAAGCUAGACAUCAGCAUAAAUCCUCGCCAAUCAUUCGCUCCAUCAUGCAAGAAACCGGCCCUAUAAUUGCCCUCGACCUGGUCUUUCUGCUGCCGUGUCUGAAUAAUCGGACAAGAACAGGGACGGGUUCGAGUUUCGCCAAGGACAUAUCGUUCUUGUCCAUUUGUCAGUUGUAACACAGAGAGAGGGAGAGAGGCAGGAAGAAUGGGGAAAGAGAGAGUGGGUUUGGUCGCGUUGCUGAUAAUUGUGUCGAGCUGGUGUGUAUCGUCGUCCUCCUACCACUCUUCUUCUUCUUCUUCUUUCAGAGGUGAUCUGAGCAGAGGCAAGGCGCCUUUCACUUUCGGGUCGGCGUCGUCGUCGCUAGUUCUCAAUCAGGUCGGGUCAUCCGUUGUCUUUCCACUCCACGGCAAUGUUUUCCCAACUGGGUACACUUCUUGACCUGUCUUCAGUUCAGUUCGGCGAAUCAUUUAUUAGUCAGAGAGAGAGAGAGAGAGAGAGAGAGAGAGAGAGAGAGAGGGGUGAUGCACCUGCAUUUUUGCUCCUUCAAUGAAUUCUUGAAUGCCUGGGUGACUCUCUGCUGUGCCGUUCGCGUUUAGAAAGCAUGGGUCAUCUCUCACAUCUAACUGUCUUUGGUGAUAUGAAAAGGUCUUUUUUCCUCCAAAAGUUCAAAAAGUUCUACAGUUUGGCUAGUUACAUCGUUGGAUUGCUGUUUGAUGACCUGAAGAUUCAUCCAAUCCAAUGUCAUAGUGACUUAUGUCUCCCUAAGUGGUAACCAUAGAUACUAUUAUCACCCACUUAAGAAUUCCUGAAGUUUCAGUACGUUGAUCAUCAGAUUAAAUCUUUCAUGCCAAGGGAAAAUUGCUGGGAAGAUUCUAUACGGUUUUCAUCACAUUAAAGCUUAUCUUUCUCAAGAGAAAGUUGUGUUUCUUCAGUUUCCAUACAUUUUUAUUCUAUAUGUCAUAACGAUGCAGUGCUUUUCUACUCUUUCUUGAUUGCUGGGUGUUUCUCAAUUGUUACCUUCAUUCUCACUUUGCUUGUCAUUCAUUCUGUGUCCCUUUUCUGUCACACAUUGCUAAUUGACUGUUCAAUCUUUUGAAGCAUAAUGCUCCUCUCUUCAUCCAAUAAUCAGAUCUGAAUAUUAUAAAAGCUUGUGGAUUUGCCAGGACUGAUGAUCAAGUGAACUGCCUAUUUCAGGUCAUAUAACACAACUCUCUUCAUUGGGCAGCCACCAAAGCCUUACUUUCUUGAUCCCGACACUGGUAGUGACCUCACAUGGCUCCAAUGUGAUGCCCCUUGUGUACGAUGCACCCAG
RNAcentral lists this long non-coding RNA (24337 nucleotides) under Eucalyptus grandis. RNAcentral describes it as "long non-coding RNA (EGRA_LNC005354)". Lineage: Eukaryota; Viridiplantae; Streptophyta; Magnoliopsida; Myrtales; Myrtaceae. The record is from RNAcentral.